This 443-nucleotide ribosomal RNA is filed under the name uncultured bacterium. Its description in RNAcentral is "partial 16S ribosomal RNA". It matches the Rfam family "Bacterial small subunit ribosomal RNA", at positions 338 to 795 of the family's 1533-position model. The record is from RNAcentral.
CCUACGGGUGGCAGCAGUGGGGAAUAUUGGGCAAUGGAGGCAACUCUGACCCAGCAACGCCGCGUGAAUGAUGAAGGUCUUCGGAUUGUAAAGUUCUGUGAUGGGGGAUGAACACAAUGACGGUACCCCAAUAGCAAGCCACGGCUAACUACGUGCCAGCAGCCGCGGUAAUACGUAGGUGGCAAGCGUUAUCCGGAAUGACUGGGCGUAAAGGGUGCGUAGGGGGUUUAGAAAGUUGGCGGUGUAAUUUCGGGGCUCAACCUCGGCGCUACCGCCAAAACUAUUAGACUAGAGUGCAGGGAGGGUAGGUGGAAGUCAUGGUGUAGCGGUGGAAUGCGUAGAUAUUAGGAGGAACAUCAGGGGCGAAGGCGACUUACUGGACUGUAACUGACGCUGAGGCACGAAAGUGUGGGGAGCAAACAGGAUUAGAUACCCUUGUAGUC